RNAcentral lists this ribosomal RNA (257 nucleotides) under uncultured bacterium. RNAcentral describes it as "partial small subunit ribosomal RNA". It matches the Rfam family "Bacterial small subunit ribosomal RNA", at positions 26 to 286 of the family's 1533-position model. The record is from RNAcentral.
AGGACGAACGCUGGCGGCGUGCUUAACACAUGCAAGUCGAGCGGAAAGGCCCUUCGGGGUACUCGAGCGGCGAACGGGUGAGUAACACGUGGGCAACCUGCCCCUAGCUCUGGGAUAACUCCGGGAAACCGGUGCUAAAUACCGGAUACGACCUCAUUGGGCAUUCUUUGAGGUGGAAAGAUUUAUUGGCUAGGGAUGGGCCCGCGGCCUAUCAGCUUGUUGGUGGGGUAACGGCCUACCAAGGCGACGACGGGUAG